UACGUAGGCAGCGAGCGUUGUUCGGAAUUACUGGGCGUAAAGAGUGUGUAGGCGGUGCUCUAAGUUCGGUGUGAAAUCUCCUGGCUUAACUGGGAGGGUGCGCCGGAAACUGGAGUGCUCGAGCGUGGGAGAGGAAAGCGGAAUUCCUGGUGUAGCGGUGAAAUGCGUAGAUAUCAGGAGGAACACCUGUGGUGUAGACGGCUUUCUGGACCGUAACUGACGCUGAGACACGAAAGCGUGGGUAGCAAACAGG
Molecule: ribosomal RNA, 253 nt
Filed under: uncultured bacterium
Lineage: Bacteria
Description: partial 16S ribosomal RNA
Rfam family: Bacterial small subunit ribosomal RNA
Source: RNAcentral